UAUGAUGAUAUGACAAUAAAAUUUUAGAUCAAAGUUAUUGAUCUUGUUUUAAUAGUAUAAAGAAUUUUCUAUCAAAAUUUCAUGUGAUUUGGAUAUUUCUACACCGUUAAACUUGCAACCGGCUCACAACGGCCGUUAAAAUUAUUGAUUUUGAGCCCCUUCGAUCACUAAGCAAAUGAUAUCGAAAAAUCACAAAAUUUAUUUUCUAGGUACUUCAAAUACUCUAGAUCAACUCUAACGGAGCCGAUCGUCGAUUCGAAAGUCCGAACAUCGAAAAUAAUUUGGAAGUACGGAAGGCUCCGUGCUUCCAUAAGCAUACCAGCCUACUCUCUCUCUCUCUCUCUCUCUCUCUCUCUCUAUAUAUAUAUAUAUAUAUAUAUAUAUAUAUAUAUAUAUAUAUAUAUAUAAUGUCCAUAAAUAUUUAUAAUAUUAAAGAUCAGUUCAAGUCCGAAGAUAUAACAAAACAACUGCCUAUGUAUUAAUUAUUUGCACUGGGUUAACAAAAUGCAUAGUAAAGUGCAUAAUAUAGAAGGUCCAAAAGUUUUAUUCAAUGUUGCUACCGCCCUGGAUCUUCUGCAAACCUGUAAGUUUAAUGUAUGAAAAAAUAUUAGUUAUGGAUCUGUAACUAUAUAUCAUAAGUAUAAUAGAAUUACCUAAGGCACUUUCUUCUUGGUUGUUCCACAUCAGAAGUUACUUCUAAUUUAUCUUGCAUGUAUUAUCAUC
RNAcentral lists this long non-coding RNA (723 nucleotides) under Ananas comosus (pineapple). RNAcentral's name for it is "long non-coding RNA (ACOM_LNC042758)". Lineage: Eukaryota; Viridiplantae; Streptophyta; Magnoliopsida; Poales; Bromeliaceae. The record is from RNAcentral.